Molecule: ribosomal RNA, 440 nt
Filed under: uncultured bacterium
Lineage: Bacteria
Description: partial 16S ribosomal RNA
Rfam family: Bacterial small subunit ribosomal RNA
Source: RNAcentral
CCUACGGGGGGCAGCAGUGGGGAAUAUUGCACAAUGGGGGAAACCCUGAUGCAGCGACGCCGCGUGAGUGAAGAAGUAAUUCGUUAUGUAAAGCUCUAUCAGCAGGGAAGAAAAUGACGGUACCUGAGGAAGAAGCCCCGGCUAACUACGUGCCAGCAGCCGCGGUAAUACGUAGGGGGCAAGCGUUAUCCGGAUUUACUGGGUGUAAAGGGCGCGUAGACGGGAGUGCAAGUCUGAAGUGAAAGGCGGGGGCUUAACCCUCGGACUGCACUGGAAACUGUAAGGCUGGAGUGCAGGAGAGGUAAGUGGAAUUCCUGGUGUAGCGGUGAAAUGCGUAGAUAUUAGGAGGAACACCAGUGGCGAAGGCGGCUUACUGGAAUGUAACUGACGUUGAGGCUCGAAAGCGUGGGGAGCAAACAGGAUUAGAUACCCCAGUAGUC